Molecule: long non-coding RNA, 995 nt
Filed under: Durio zibethinus
Lineage: Eukaryota; Viridiplantae; Streptophyta; Magnoliopsida; Malvales; Malvaceae
Description: long non-coding RNA (DZIB_LNC000063)
Source: RNAcentral
AAAGUCUAAACCUUAAUUUCUUUCAUAAAGCAAAACAGAACAAGUAUAUAUCAAAGAUGGAGUGACUUGUCAUUUAUCCUAAUCGUUGAAUUACACUUUCCUUUUCACACAUGAAGACUUGGCUAACUAGAAACAAUUAUCAUCAUUUAAGCAUUUUUUGAGUGGGUUCCCCUUCCUUUUUUUUCCAAAUUCAAUGUAUAGGCUGUCUGCCAUGGGUAUUUCAUGAGGCCAACCAUAAAACACUAGUCUAUGUCUCCAAGAAUUUUCCAAGUCUGAUCCUUGCCAUUAGUUUUGCCAUAUUUUGGACUCUAAUAAAGCUUAAUUCGGCGCAUAUAAUCUACUUUUAUUCCCAUUUAUGAACUUGUUCAACCCCUUACAAAGCUUUACAGAAAAAUGAAUCAGUGCUUCUUUCUUGCUGCCAUUAGUGGGAUUUCAUGCUUUUUGUUCUCUUGGUAUGAAUAUGGGUAUGAAUAUGGGGAAUCUCCAUUUCACUUUCAAUGACUGAUAUAUACUAAGCAAGCAGCUGUACAAAUUAAUGCAGAUGGGGUUGUCAUCAUCAGCAAAAAAUUAAGACCAGAGAAUUGAAACAGUAAUAGAAUAUUAUAGCAUUCUUUCUUUGUAUGAAACAUGAAGAAAGCUGGCUGAUGAUAAUGAUCAAGACUGUUGCCUCCAAAAAUGUGCAGGUGAAGUCAAGUCAUAUGCAUUAAAAUACCGUUGUGGGGAUGACUUUAUCAAGAAAUGGAAGGUAAAAUAUAGAUAUGAGUUUUGCCUUGUGCAGCUGAAUUUCAAUUUGUAAUUAUCAUAUAUUAUAGUAACACCAAUCUCUUCAUUCGUUUUUCUCUACGUUUUAUAAUCCAGAAAGGUUGAAAUAAAUGUUAGUAACUUUUUGUACGUAUCCGUAAAUGUUACUUGUACGUUUAAAAUUUAACUAAUUUUAGUGACAUUUUUCCAUGCAUCAUUGAUCAGUUCAAAAAUGUUCAAUGACAUGAGCUCAG